CUGUGACUUACUAAAAAAUAUUAGCUAUCCGCUUAAUAAACUAUUUAAUGCAAUGCGGAAGUGUCAUGCACGUACAGGAAUCUCAGGGUCAGUAAUCAGGACAAGAAGUAAUGGGUUCUUGAGAAAGUUAGAUUUAAUAAAAAGACAUGAAAGAAUUGGUUCUCAAAUAGAGUGGUGGAUGAAUGUAUGUUAGUGCUGAGUCAUUCAGGAGGUUUAAAAGAAGACUUGACAUGUAUAUGGAUGGGAAUGACAAGUGGAAAUAGGUAGGCAUGUUUCAUACAGGGACUGCGACGUGUAUUCUUGCAGCUUCCCUUAUUUUCCUCUGGUCUUAUGUUUUUAAAUUUAGUUUUGUUAGGCAUGAAAAAGUGUAAGGUUUAGUCGUUUUCUCUCGCAACUUCCCUGUUCCAGUACUCCUUCACUGCAUUCCCUUCCUCCUUCAUUUAUUUGAAAUAAUUUACUGGCAGGUUCUAAAAAUAAUGAAGAAAUGCAGGAAUAUUCGUUUGUGUUAAUUUGGUCUUCUAUGAAUCAUGAAAUUGCAAGUUUUGAUGAAUGUUGUGGUAUGUUAAGAAGAGUUUGUUCGCAGGCAGCGAGUGGCGGGGCGAGGCCGGGCCGCUGUUUGAAGGGACGGGUAGAUUAUCCCCGUGUCGUCCUUUACCUCUCGUGGAGAAUGUAUGUCCUGCGCCGCGCCGGGAUGAGUUGUCAGUCAGUCUCCUGAAGUAUGUGUUGGAGAGACAGCCACCACCACCACCUUUGCCUGAGGAAUGGCACUGCCCUUUGCCGUCACCUCCAGAUGGCCUGCCCUGGAGCGUUCCUCUCUUCACCUAAAGCCACAGGCUGUGUGUGGCUGGCCAGGCAGCACAUCCCUCACCCCACCGUCUCCCUGGCACCGUGGUGAGGCAAGCUGACCACCACUGAGGGCAGGCACACCUGUCGGGCAGUACAGCAAUGGAUCUCCGCACACCAGUGAAUCUGAGGCACAGACGGAGAACACGGACACCACUGCUGGGAAGAUAGUUAUCACUGCUGUGCUGAUCUGUGGCUCCUUGGCUGUUCAUAAGACAUCAUGAAUUAGCUGCAGCUUUCUCCCCCUGACUCAGCGCCAGACUGCACGUCACAUGCUGCAGUGGUGUGUGUUGCAUGCCUCGGCUUGCUUCAUCUACAAGGUUGGCAGUCUUAAUUGGUAUCAUCAGACAACAAGGAGUGCAGUUUUGUCUUCUGUAGGUUGAAGUAAUUCAGUUUGGUAUGUGUCAAUGUGCUGCUGAAUGUUGUCUGUCAGAAGCAAGGUAUUGAAGCAUUUUGGAGCAACUUUCCAGUUACACUUGUCAUAAUUACAUUUUGUUUUUUAGUUUAGGUUCUGCAGUGAUUGCAGAACCUGAAGUGUUGAUACAAACUCACCAAAACAAUAAAAUUAUGACACUUAGGUAUAACUGAAAAAUUGUUUCCAAAUUGUUUAACCCUUUCAGUUUGCAGUGCAGGUGUGUGUGGUCAGUGGUACACCUAGGCAGACUCUCAUGCCAACACUUGAACUGCUGCCAGGGAAUACAAGUACUCCAAGCCAUACAAAUGUACAUGCUCAGUAUGAAAUAUUAAUCAGCAUAUUUAGAGUAGGAUAGUGCAUGCAGAGAUACACAGUGUAGUUGAUAAUUGGCGUUUUGAGCAUCCCACUCGUAAUCACCCAUUACAGUGUGUUUCUCUGUAUGCACUCCACAACUCUGCAAAUGUUGAUUGAUAUUUCAUACUGAAUAUGCACAUCUGUAUGGCUUCAAGUACUUGUAUUCACUGGCAGCAGUUAAAGUGUUGGCAUGUGUGAGUCUGCCCAGGCGUGGCACAACUGAACUGAAAGGGUUAAACAAUUUGGGAGCAAUUUUUCAGAUAUACCUGUGUCAUAUAUAACUUAAUUUGGUUUUGGUGAGUUUCUAUUUACACUUCAGGGUUCUGCAAUUACUGCAGAACCUUAGGAUACCAGUUAAAACAGAUCAUCUAUCUACCUUGCACACACAAGAUCCAGCACCCGAGUGACUGCAGAACCAACACUAAAAAAACAAAAUGGAAUUAUGCCAAGAGUAAGCAGAAAGUUGAUCCAGAAUUUGAAAUACCUUGUGACUGGCAAUGUUCAAUAGCACGUUGACAUAUUCAAGCUACUGAAGACAAAACUCCACUCCUUGCUGUCUCAUGAUGGCAAUUAGAACUGCCAACCUUGUACAUAAAACAAGCCAAGAAGGCAUACAACACAACACAACACAACACACCCACCACUGCAGCAUGAUUUACAGCCUAGUGCUGAGUUGGGGAGAGAAGGCUGCAGCUGCUCAGCAAUGUACAUUCUUGCUGGGCUAGGAGCCAAGGAUCAUCCUCACACAAUGACAGAUCCUGUGCAAACCAUGCCAUGUGCAGGCCUGGCCUCUUGUGGCUUCCCUGGGUUGUGUUCUCCAUGCUUCUGUCUCACUAGCUAUGUGCAGGCCUGGCCUCUUGUGGCUUCCCCAUGUUCUCCAUGCUUCUGUCUCACCAGUCAUGUGUAGGCCUGGCUUCUUGUAGCUUUCUGUGUUCUUGAUGCUUCUGUCUCACCAGUUGUGUGUAGGCCUGGCUUCUUGUAGCUUUCUGUGUUCUUGAUGCUUCUGUCUCACCAGUCUCAAGGGCAUCAGUCUUCAUCCUGGUGUCUCUCAGUGUGUUCUUCUUGGAAGUCACUCUGGAACGAAGAUACAAAAAGUGUUAGUGCCAAAACUUUGCUUUACACAGUAGUGGUGGAAAGUCUUGGCAUGAACCUGCUGUGCCAAGAAGUACUGCCAGUAUGGUGCAGACCACCACAGCAUCUCUGACCUGGCAGCAAGUCUUGGCCACCUGGGGACAGGCUGGGGGAGAGUGGGCAUCCCAGUGACAUGAGUCACUACAGUAGUAGGUCACUCAUCUGUGAGCUGUUACUCUGAGAUCAAAGAUUUCAUUUCACCACCACACAUUGUCUCCACCCACACCUUAAUCCUUUUGACACUGGAGCAAUGGGUGGUGGAAAAGAGCUGCAAGAAUCACACCUGGCAGCCGUAGCAACACUCAGCCACUGUCGAAAGGCAAACAAGG
Molecule: RNA transcript, 3072 nt
Organism: Scylla paramamosain (green mud crab)
Lineage: Eukaryota; Metazoa; Arthropoda; Malacostraca; Decapoda; Portunidae
Exons: 5
Source: RefSeq, a predicted model, not a curated record